GAGGGUGUAGUCCAGUGGAAGGGCACUUGCCUAGCAUUCAUGAGGUCCUAGGUUUCAUUCCCAGCACUUGCA
This 72-nucleotide transfer RNA is filed under the name Dipodomys ordii (Ord's kangaroo rat). It matches the Rfam family "tRNA". Rfam says of the family: Transfer RNA (tRNA) molecules are approximately 80 nucleotides in length. Their secondary structure includes four short double-helical elements and three loops (D, anti-codon, and T loops). Lineage: Eukaryota; Metazoa; Chordata; Mammalia; Rodentia; Heteromyidae. The record is from Rfam by way of RNAcentral.